AAAUAUUAAAUAAGAAAUCUAUUGAAAAUUAAUAUUAUUAAAAGAGAGUAUAUUUGUGAUUUGUUUUUUAGACUAAAUCAUCUCCAUCCAAAUGGUUCUACCAAGUCCAUCCAAAUGAGUUUUACAAAUUAGCGUAAGUUUACAAAAUCAUUCCAUAUAUUAUA
RNAcentral lists this small RNA (164 nucleotides) under Arabidopsis thaliana (thale cress). Its description in RNAcentral is "ATSL068980". The record is from RNAcentral. Lineage: Eukaryota; Viridiplantae; Streptophyta; Magnoliopsida; Brassicales; Brassicaceae.